GAUGAAGAACGCAGCGAAAUGCGAUAAGUAAUGUGAAUUGCAGAAUCCAGUGAAUCAUCGAAUCUUUGAACGCACAUUGCGCCCGCCAGCAUUCUGGCGGGCAUGCCUGUUCGAGCGUCAUUUCAACCCUCGACCUCCCCUUGGGGAGGUCGGCGUUGGGGACCGGCAGCACACCGCCGGCCCUGAAAUGGAGUGGCGGCCCGUCUGCGGCGACCUCUGCGUAGUAAUACAGCUCGCACCGGAACCCCGACGCGGCCACGCCGUAAAACACCCAACUUCUGAACGUUGACCUCGAAUCAGGAAGGACUACCCGCUGAACUUAAGCAUAUCAAUAAGCGGAGGA
This 343-nucleotide unclassified non-coding RNA is filed under the name soil metagenome. RNAcentral describes it as "partial contains 5.8S ribosomal RNA, internal transcribed spacer 2, and large subunit ribosomal RNA". The stretch from base 1 to 120 matches the Rfam family "5.8S ribosomal RNA", at positions 35 to 154 of the family's 154-position model. The record is from RNAcentral.